Molecule: RNA transcript, 2326 nt
Organism: Onychostoma macrolepis
Lineage: Eukaryota; Metazoa; Chordata; Actinopteri; Cypriniformes; Cyprinidae
Gene name: H-2 class I histocompatibility antigen, Q9 alpha chain-like
Exons: 7
Source: RefSeq, a predicted model, not a curated record
CUGUACUGGCUGGAGUUUCAGAACUUGCAGGCACUUUACUAGCUCAAAGUCAACAACUGAGACCCGACGUUUGGUAUUAACUUGAAUAUUUCAAGUCAUUUCUCGAUCCUAGAAUAUUAUAUUAAAUCUAAAUCUCAAGAAAAUGUAAGAAUGCGGUUUGUUGUAGUGCUUCUGCUUGUCGGAGCUCAUCUUGCCUUUGCUGGAAAACACUCUCUGAAAUACUUCUACACUGGUGUGUCUGGAGACAUUGACUUCCCAGAGUUCACUUCAGUUGGUUUGGUUCAUGAUGAGCAGUUUAUGUACUUUGACAGCAACACAAUGAAAGCUGUGCCAAAGACAGAGUGGAUCAGACAGAAUGAGGGAGCUGAUUACUGGACCAGAGAGACUCAGACUGAUAUUAAUCAGCAUCGGCUCUUCAAAAACAACAUCCAGGUCGCAAAGGGACGCUUCAACCAGUCAACAGGUGUGCACACAUACCAGCUGAUGUACGGCUGUGAGUGGGACGAUCAGACUGGAGAAACAAAUGGGUUCCGUGAGUUUGGUUAUGAUGGAGAGGACUUUCUGUCUCUGGAUUUUAAGGAGAUGAGAUAUAUUUCUCCAGUGCAGCAAGGAUUCCCCACUGCACGGAAGUGGAACAAUGACAGAGCUGGUCUUGAGAGAGACAGACAUUACUUCAGCUCUGAGUGCAUUGAGUGGCUGCAGAAGUAUCUGCAGUAUGGAAAGAGCAGCCUGAAGAAAACAGUCUCUCCUCAGGUGUCUCUGCUGCAGAAGUCUUCCUCGUCUUCAGUCUCGUGUCAUGCUACAGGUUUUUACCCCAGUGGACUAACAAUCACCUGGAUGAGAAAUGGACAAGAGCUUCAUGAGGAUGUGGAUCUCAGUGAACUUCUUCCCAAUGAGGACGGGACCUUUCAGAGGACGAGCACCAUCAGAGUUACACCUGAUGAGUGGAAGAAGAACCAGCACAGCUAUGUGGUGAAGCACCAGAGCGGAACCAUAACAGUAGAUGAGAUCAGGACAAACAAUGAACAGGAGAUUCUGUGCCCAUCGGCAUCAUUGUUGGUGCUGCUGCUGCUGUCGCCUUGUUGAUUAUCAUUGGUGUCGCUGGAUAUAUGGUGUAUCAGAAGAAAAAAGGCUCUGAUGAUGGCUCAGACAGCUCAGCUCAUACAGAUCCACAUAAUAAAAAUGAUACCAGACAUGUGGGAAAUAUUAUAUAAAGGAUGCUUACGUCGCUCUCCUUCUUCCUUUCAAAACUGCAUAUAAACAAAGACAAAAACAACACAGGAUCAUAGAUUUUUGCAAGAAGAUAUACUGUAUUUUUGUGCCUCCGCCGACCCUACUCAUAUUCAUCAAUAAUUUCACUCUACUUAACAAAUUGUUUGGCCAUUCUUUUAUCACUUUGUAUUUGGCAACAAUGAUUUGUUCUCACGUCAAGCGAAAUCGGCCAGCAGGCAAGUAAAUCGUGAACAAACGCAUGAAGCGGACAAGAUGGAGGAGUCCCUUGUCACCAUGAUCGCAUCAGCCACGGAGAAGCAACAGUCGUUUAUUGAAUCACAGUUUAAAACUCUUCAAGACAGACGGGACAUCAUUCAGAAGGAGCUUUCCAGCUGUUCUAGCAGCGUAAGAGAAUUACGUGAUAGAUACUCCAUCCUGAGCAGCCGAGUUAGUAAAACGGAGAAAACCUGCCACAGGAGCUGCUGAAACAGUUCUACUCCGCCAUCAUUGAAUCUGUCCUCUGCACUUCAAUAACUGUCUGGUUCAGCUCAGCUACCAAAUCUGACCUCACAAGACUACGGAGGGUAGUCCGGACUGCUGAGCGAAUCAUUGGUACAACCCUCCCCACUCUCCAAGAACUGUACUCAUCCAGAGUGAGCAGAAGGGCUGGUAAAAUCACUCUGGACCCCUCACAUCCAGCACACUCCCUCUUUGAACUGAUGCCGUCUGGUCGAUGCUACAGAGCUCUGCGCACCAGAACGACCAGCACAGGAACAGUUUCUUCUCUCAGGCAAUCCAUCUCAUGAACACUUGACAAUAAACGUGGAACACAUAACACUAUUAUACAUUAUUUAUUCACCACAUAUACUUAUUUUUAUUUUACUUUUUUUCAUUUCAAAUUUGCACAUAUCAGACCUGUACACACACAAUUGUCUAUAUUAUAUAUUGUGUUUUUUUUACUGUUUUGUACAUUUGCCUAUUUGUAUAUUAUUCUUUUAUUAUCUCUGUCCUGUCUUGUCGCUGUCAUUCUGUUGCACUGUGGAGCUUCUGUCACUAUAACAAAUUCCUUGUAUGUGUAAACAUACCUGGCCAAUAAAGCUCAUUCUGAUUCUGA